ACUCCUACGGGAGGCAGCAGUGGGGAAUUUUGGACAAUGGGCGAAAGCCUGAUCCAGCAAUGCCGCGUGCAGGAUGAAGGCCCUCGGGUUGUAAACUGCUUUUGUACGGAACGAAAAGCCUGGGGCUAAUAUCCCCGGGUCAUGACGGUACCGUAAGAAUAAGCACCGGCUAACUACGUGCCAGCAGCCGCGGUAAUACGUAGGGUGCAAGCGUUAAUCGGAAUUACUGGGCGUAAAGCGUGCGCAGGCGGUUUUGUAAGACAGUGGUGAAAUCCCCGGGCUCAACCUGGGAACUGCCAUUGUGACUGCAAGGCUAGAGUGCGGCAGAGGGGGAUGGAAUUCCGCGUGUAGCAGUGAAAUGCGUAGAUAUGCGGAGGAACACCGAUGGCGAAGGCAAUCCCCUGGGCCUGCACUGACGCUCAUGCACGAAAGCGUGGGAGCAAACAGGAUUAGAUACCCCUGGUAGCGACUGA
RNAcentral lists this ribosomal RNA (473 nucleotides) under uncultured bacterium. Its description in RNAcentral is "bacterial SSU rRNA". It matches the Rfam family "Bacterial small subunit ribosomal RNA", at positions 335 to 803 of the family's 1533-position model. The record is from RNAcentral.